RNAcentral lists this long non-coding RNA (280 nucleotides) under Mytilus galloprovincialis (Mediterranean mussel). The record is from RNAcentral. Lineage: Eukaryota; Metazoa; Mollusca; Bivalvia; Mytilida; Mytilidae.
UGCGUUGUGAGAUUUAAAAUAUUUUGAUGAGAACAUUAAGUAAAUGAUGUAUCAAACGUUCAAGAAUACGCAUGUAAUAUGUGUCACUGGAUAUAAAAAAAAAUCAUCCUCAACACCUACUUCCGUAUGGGACUUCCCCUUUCAGUGACCUGCAAAUUUAACAGAUGAUACACUUUCUAAGAUUUAUAUGUCCAACAACGACCCACUGCUCUACAUGUGUUACUAACAGCCUAAGAUAGCAGUUCUUUUUUUAGGUCAAUUCUCUUUCGUACAAUACCAG